This is a non-coding RNA of Podarcis lilfordi (Lilford's wall lizard), 70 nucleotides long. Lineage: Eukaryota; Metazoa; Chordata; Lepidosauria; Squamata; Lacertidae. The record is from the annotation of a GenBank genome assembly.
GGCCAUAGCUCAGUUGGUAGAGCAUCAGUUUUGCAUGCAAAAGGCCCCAGGUUUAAUCCUGAGAUCACCA